GAGUUUGAUCAUGGCUCAGAUUGAACGCUGGCGGCAUGCCUUACACAUGCAAGUCGAACGGCAGCAUGAUCUAGCUUGCUAGAUUGAUGGCGAGUGGCGAACGGGUGAGUAAUACAUCGGAACGUGCCCUGUAGUGGGGGAUAACUAGUCGAAAGAUUAGCUAAUACCGCAUACGACCUGAGGGUGAAAGUGGGGGACCGCAAGGCCUCAUGCUAUAGGAGCGGCCGAUGUCUGAUUAGCUAGUUGGUGGGGUAAAGGCCCACCAAGGCGACGAUCAGUAGCUGGUCUGAGAGGACGAUCAGCCACACUGGGGACUGAGACACGGCCCAGACUCCUACGGGAGGCAGCAGUGGGGAAUUUUGGACAAUGGGCGAAAGCCUGAUCCAGCAAUGCCGCGUGUGUGAAGAAGGCCUGG
RNAcentral lists this ribosomal RNA (415 nucleotides) under uncultured microorganism. RNAcentral describes it as "bacterial SSU rRNA". It matches the Rfam family "Bacterial small subunit ribosomal RNA", at positions 9 to 419 of the family's 1533-position model. The record is from RNAcentral.